This 451-nucleotide ribosomal RNA is filed under the name uncultured bacterium. Its description in RNAcentral is "bacterial SSU rRNA". It matches the Rfam family "Bacterial small subunit ribosomal RNA", at positions 354 to 796 of the family's 1533-position model. The record is from RNAcentral.
GUGGGGAAUCUUGCGCAAUGGGGGAAACCCUGACGCAGCGACGCCGCGUGGGUGAUGAAGGCCUUCGGGUCGUAAAGCCCUGUCGUAGGGAAAGAAUCGGUGAACGGCUAAUACCCGUCCACCCUGACGGUACCCUACAAGAAAGCACCGGCUAACUCCGUGCCAGCAGCCGCGGUAAUACGGAGGGUGCAAGCGUUGUUCGGAAUCACUGGGCGUAAAGCGCGUGUAGGCGGCCGACUAAGUCCGGUGUGAAAGCCCGGGGCUUACCCCCGGAAGUGCGCUGGAAACUGGUCGACUAGAGUAUGGGAGAGGGAAGUGGAAUUCCUGGUGUAGCGGUGAAAUGCGUAGAUAUCAGGAGGAACACCGGCGGCGAAGGCGGCUUCCUGGACCAAUACUGACGCUGAGACGCGAAAGCGUGGGGAGCAAACAGGAUUAGAUACCCCAGUAGUCC